AUAAAGGUUUUUUUUAAAACCAACACAAUUAGUGAUCAACUAAAGUU
This is a non-coding RNA of Acanthisitta chloris (rifleman), 47 nucleotides long. NCBI's taxonomy places the organism in Eukaryota, Metazoa, Chordata, Aves, Passeriformes, Acanthisittidae. The record is from Rfam.